RNAcentral lists this ribosomal RNA (500 nucleotides) under uncultured bacterium. RNAcentral's name for it is "partial 16S ribosomal RNA". It matches the Rfam family "Bacterial small subunit ribosomal RNA", at positions 30 to 523 of the family's 1533-position model. The record is from RNAcentral.
AUUGAACGCUGGCGGCAGGCCUAACACAUGCAAGUCGAGCGGAUGAGGGUAGCUUGCUACCUGAUUCAGCGGCGGACGGGUGAGUAAUGCCUAGGAAUCUGCCCGAUAGUGGGGGACAACGUUUCGAAAGGAACGCUAAUACCGCAUACGUCCUACGGGAGAAAGUGGGGGAUCUUCGGACCCAACGCUAUCGGAUGAGCCUAGGUCGGAUUAGCUAGUUGGUGAGGUAAUGGCUCACCAAGGCUACGAUCCGUAACCGGGCUGAGAGGAUGAUCAGUCACACUGGAACUGAGACACGGUCCAGACUCCUACGGGAGGCAGCAGUGGGGAAUAUUGGACAAUGGGCGAAAGCCUGAUCCAGCCAUGCCGCGUGUGUGAAGAAGGUCUUCGGAUUGUAAAGCACUUUAAGUUGGGAGGAAGGGCUGUAGGCUAAUAUCCUGCAGUUUUGACGUUACCAACAGAAUAAGCACCGGCUAACUUCGUGCCAGCCGCCGCUGUAA